This 73-nucleotide transfer RNA is filed under the name Toxocara canis (dog roundworm). It matches the Rfam family "tRNA". From Rfam's summary of the family: Transfer RNA (tRNA) molecules are approximately 80 nucleotides in length. The record is from Rfam by way of RNAcentral. Lineage: Eukaryota; Metazoa; Nematoda; Chromadorea; Rhabditida; Toxocaridae.
GCGUUCUUAGCUCAGUCGGUAGAGCAUCAGAGUUUUAAUGUGAGGGUCGCGGGUUAUGGUCUCGCAAAAGGCG